This is a long non-coding RNA of Dipodomys spectabilis (banner-tailed kangaroo rat), 212 nucleotides long. RefSeq lists it as uncharacterized. The record is from RefSeq and is a predicted model, not a curated record. NCBI's taxonomy places the organism in Eukaryota, Metazoa, Chordata, Mammalia, Rodentia, Heteromyidae. The transcript is spliced from 3 exons.
AAUGCUGGAGACUUAUAGCAACCUCUUGUCCUUGGGGCACUGUGUUCCUAAACCUAAACUGAUUGUGAAGCUGGAACAAGGUGCAGAACCAUGGAUAACAGAAGGCUCAGAAGAGAAUUUCACAGAUGUCCCAGAAAUGGAGGAUGUGAUUAGCACCUGUCAGGAAAGUCACAAUAAAUAUCUAUCUGAAGUAGCCGUCAUGAAUAGUAACC